CCCCUAGACAUUCUGGGCCGCACGCGUACUACACUGAUGCAUGCAGUAAGUUAACCUAACCUGAAGAGGGCUGGGUAAUCUUUUCAAAGUGCAUCGUGCUUGGGAUAGAUCAUUGUAAUUAUUGAUCUUGAACGAGGAAUUCCUAGUAAGCAUGUGUCAUCAGCGCAUACUGAUUACGUCCCUGCCCUUUGUACACACCGCCCGUCGCUCCUACCGAUUCGAGUGAUUCGGCGAAUUCUCCGGACUGGCACUCACGUGCUGGGAAGUUGUGUAAGCCAUAUCACUUAGAGGAAGGAUAAGGCGUAACA
RNAcentral lists this ribosomal RNA (308 nucleotides) under uncultured eukaryote. RNAcentral's name for it is "partial 18S ribosomal RNA". It matches the Rfam family "Eukaryotic small subunit ribosomal RNA", at positions 1470 to 1796 of the family's 1831-position model. The record is from RNAcentral.